Molecule: ribosomal RNA, 468 nt
Filed under: uncultured bacterium
Lineage: Bacteria
Description: partial 16S ribosomal RNA
Rfam family: Bacterial small subunit ribosomal RNA
Source: RNAcentral
GACGAACGCUGGCGGCGUGCUUAACACAUGCAAGUCGAACGGAAAGGCCCUGCUUGUGUGGGGUGCUCGAGUGGCGAACGGGUGAGUAACACGUGAGUAACCUGCCCUUGACUUUGGGAUAACUUCAGGAAACUGGGGCUAAUACCGGAUAGGAGCUCCUGCUGCAUGGUGGGGGUUGGAAAGUUUCGGCGGUUGGGGAUGGACUCGCGGCUUAUCAGCUUGUUGGUGGGGUAGUGGCUUACCAAGGCUUUGACGGGUAGCCGGCCUGGGAGGGUGACCGGCCACAUUGGGCCUGAGAUACGGCCCGGACUCCUACGGGAGGCAGGGGUGGAGAAUAUUGCACAAUGGGCUGAGGCAUGAUGCAGCAACGCCGCGUGCGGGAUGACGGCCUUCGGGUUGUAACCCGCAUUCGCCUGUGACGAAGCGUGAGUGACGGUAAUGGGUAAAGAAGCACCGGCUAACUACGUG